Molecule: ribosomal RNA, 450 nt
Filed under: Salmonella enterica subsp. enterica serovar Schwarzengrund
Lineage: Bacteria; Pseudomonadati; Pseudomonadota; Gammaproteobacteria; Enterobacterales; Enterobacteriaceae
Description: bacterial LSU rRNA
Rfam family: Bacterial large subunit ribosomal RNA
Source: RNAcentral
GGGUUGUGAGGUUAAGCGACUAAGCGUACACGGUGGAUGCCCUGGCAGUCAGAGGCGAUGAAGGACGUGCUAAUCUGCGAUAAGCGCCGGUAAGGUGAUAUGAACCGUUAUAACCGGCGAUUUCCGAAUGGGGAAACCCAGUGUGACUCGUCACACUAUCAUUAACUGAAUCCAUAGGUUAAUGAGGCGAACCGGGGGAACUGAAACAUCUAAGUACCCCGAGGAAAAGAAAUCAACCGAGAUUCCCCCAGUAGCGGCGAGCGAACGGGGAGGAGCCCAGAGCCUGAAUCAGCAUGUGUGUUAGUGGAAGCGUCUGGAAAGGCGCGCGAUACAGGGUGACAGCCCCGUACACAAAAGCGCAUGUGCUGUGAGCUCGAUGAGUAGGGCGGGACACGUGGUAUCCUGUCUGAAUAUGGGGGGACCAUCCUCCAAGGCUAAAUACUCCUGACU